GCGGCCGCGGAGGAGAGUAGUGGCAGGGCGGGCUGCUGGCAGGGAGCGGCCGAGAGGUGCAGGGCCUUCCCCGGGGGUCGGAAGGUUGCGGGUGCCUUGGGAGCCGGGGGCCCUUGCGCGGGAUUGCAACCCCCGCGAAGACUCUGGCGCCUCCUGCAGGCGCCGCGAUCGCAGGCCGCGUGGGAGGGGGUACUGCAGGAUCGGGUACGCCGCUGGAGGCCGGUUUUGGGGGUGACUCAGAAGCUAGAAAGUCUGAUACAACGUCUGCUUCGAAUAGUUUAGAAGGCAACAAGGACAGAUCGAGUGCCAUGUUCUAGAACUGUCAGGAAGUGAACACGCCCAGUAAGAUGAUGCCGUAUUUUGAUCCAUGUUAAUCUACAAAAAUAACCACAGAAACAGCUGUAAUCUACUGAAUGUUGCCAGCCAAAAUAAAUCUUUGCAGGGUAUCUUUCAAGUAUUGUACUUCCUAUACCUUUUCCAGAUUUCACCGUUAAGACCAAACCUUCCUCCCAAGACUUGACUUUCUGCAUUAUUUUUGGAAUGCAGUCUUUUUUUUUUUUUUUUUUCCCAUUUUUAAGAGGGUCUUCAAAUCCUCAUCCUGUUUCACAUUCUUACUGUUUCCAAUUCCUAGCCUGGCUCCCUGCCCUAUUAUAGCGGGGCUCUCCUGGCUUUCAGCCCAACAGCAUGCUUGCCUUAAAGGAUGGACUUUAGGCCAGGUGCGAUGGCACUUUGGGAGGCCGAGGUGGGUAGAUCACAAGGUCGGGAGUUCGAAACCAGCCUGGCCAAAAUCGUGAAACCCUGUCUCUAUUAAAAAUACAAAAAUUAGCUGGGCGCGGUGGCAGGCGCCUGUAAUCCCAGCUACUUGGGAGGCUGAGGCAGGAGAAUCGCUUGAACCCAGGAGGCAGAGGUUGUAGUGAGCCGAGAUCGCACCAAUGUACUGGGCGUUAGAGCAAGACUCCAUCUCAAAAAAAAAAAAAAAAUGGACUUUAAAAAG
Symphalangus syndactylus (siamang) is the source of this 994-nucleotide long non-coding RNA. RefSeq lists it as uncharacterized. Lineage: Eukaryota; Metazoa; Chordata; Mammalia; Primates; Hylobatidae. The record is from RefSeq and is a predicted model, not a curated record.